This 334-nucleotide ribosomal RNA is filed under the name Enterococcus faecalis. RNAcentral describes it as "partial 23S ribosomal RNA". It matches the Rfam family "Bacterial large subunit ribosomal RNA", at positions 411 to 747 of the family's 2925-position model. The record is from RNAcentral. Lineage: Bacteria; Bacillati; Bacillota; Bacilli; Lactobacillales; Enterococcaceae.
AGUACGGCGGAACACGAGAAAUUCCGUCGGAAUCCGCGGGGACCAUCCCGCAAGGCUAAAUACUCCCUAGUGACCGAUAGUGAACCAGUACCGUGAGGGAAAGGUGAAAAGCACCCCGGAAGGGGAGUGAAAUAGAUCCUGAAACCGUGUGCCUACAACAAGUCAAAGCUCGUUAAUGAGUGAUGGCGUGCCUUUUGUAGAAUGAACCGGCGAGUUACGAUUGCAUGCGAGGUUAAGUCGAAGAGACGGAGCCGCAGCGAAAGCGAGUCUGAAUAGGGCGAAUGAGUAUGUAGUCGUAGACCCGAAACCAUGUGAUCUACCCAUGUCCAGGUUG